This is a long non-coding RNA of Rosa chinensis, 1118 nucleotides long. RefSeq lists it as uncharacterized. Lineage: Eukaryota; Viridiplantae; Streptophyta; Magnoliopsida; Rosales; Rosaceae. The record is from RefSeq and is a predicted model, not a curated record. The transcript is spliced from 2 exons.
UAUACUAAAUAGUAAUGUUUGUUUAUUUAUUUAGGUUGGCUACCUAUGAUCUAUCUGAGUUGCAAAUUGAGGGUGAUGGAAAUUUCCAAGUUCAAUAUCAGACAUAUAUGUCACCUCAAUUUAUUUGUUUGCUUGGAUUAAGUCAAACAUACUGCACUUAUGAUUUGUAAUAUACUUAGUCAACAUGCUGCAGUUUCGAGCAAUAGCUGAUCAGUUUUUUGCAAUCCAGAUUACCAUAAGCAUGUUAGAAAGCAGGUAUGACUGAUCAAAGGCAUCUACUUCACUCCUCAUGUUAGCUCUUUCCCCUGAUAGGAAUUUCUUUAACUUGCUUUAGUUACUGUUAGGCAAAACUAAUACCAGAAUUUUCAAAACAAAAUAAAUAGUCUUUGUGAGCUUAAGAGUUUUACACUAUGAUGGAAGGCAAACAUUUAUCAGAUAUUCAAGUGUUUUUUCACUUAUCUCAAUGUUUACUUCACCGCUAACAGAUCACUUUUAACUUGCUUUCAGACACUGCAAUUUCUGAGUUUCUUUAAUUUCACAUUUACCACACAUGUGAUUUAACAUAUAUCCAUUAUUUCAUAAAUUAGUGAUCAAGACAAGGAGCUUUAAGUUCAUGCCAUUCUAUCUUUCUCUUGCAACCUUCUUGAUGAGUCUCUCUUUCCCUGCAUACGGCCUUUUCAGAGAAGAUCCAUUCAUAUAUAUACCCUAUUCACAGCAAAGCGCGGGCACGCUUUCUAGUCACUAUUACACAAUGGAGAAUGUUGAUGUUGUCCAGGCAGAGUGGGCAAAGUAUGUUCUUAAGUUCAAAGAUAACUAGUGUGUAGGUUAACUAGUAGUUGGAGAUAUGUAGCAUCAACUUUUGGACAUGCGUAGUUGAUAUAUAUAUUAGGCCAGAUUUUGAUUGCAGUACUGCUAGCUAUUUUGCUAUGUUGUUUAGUUGGUUGCCCAGAUUGUGUAGUGCUUCUGGUUUAUUAGCAAGCAGUACUAUAUGCAUAUAUUUUGCUGGCUGCCCAGAUUAGUAGAUAUGGGCCAUUUAGAAUUGAUGUUGAUGAUUAGGUUUGUGUACAUGAGACAAUGGUGGAUUAAUGGAAAUUGCAAUGAAUAAUUUUGGAUGUGGA